ACGCCGUAACAAGGGUUCCGUAGGUGACUAGCCCGGAACGUAGGUUUGAUGCAGAGUGGAACAGUUCCAAUUUUGAGCAGUCAGUGUCUGAAAGUGUCAUUCAUUGGGUCAGGAUAACGCUUCACGAUGCUUGUAGACCGCAUCUCGCGGGCAGGAGCUAGGCCAAAGAGUCCCCAUGCCCCUAUUACAACCCACAGUUUAAUGUGAAGCUCAAUGGAAAACAUUGGGUAAAAAAACCGAGCAACUGUGAACAAUGGAUAUCUUGGUUCUC
This 271-nucleotide unclassified non-coding RNA is filed under the name fungal sp. Its description in RNAcentral is "partial internal transcribed spacer region". The record is from RNAcentral. Lineage: Eukaryota; Fungi.